RNA transcript from Alnus glutinosa, 2180 nucleotides. RefSeq lists it as uncharacterized. The transcript has 4 exons. The record is from RefSeq and is a predicted model, not a curated record. NCBI's taxonomy places the organism in Eukaryota, Viridiplantae, Streptophyta, Magnoliopsida, Fagales, Betulaceae.
AUAACCGAAGCGAAGAAGUUGGAUCAAAAUCUUCCUCAGGUAGAUCCCUCUGGCAUUAAUGUCCUGGAAAAAGCCAACGAAACGCAGACUUUCCUUCUUUAAACGCACAAUCCGCUAUCUUUGUCUUUCUUUCUCUCACUCCCACGCUCUCACUUGCUCGAAAAUGCGCCUAAUAACGCUACCCAAAACCCUGAAUCCCUCGCGCCUCAAAACCCUCCUCUUGAUAGUCUCCUUCCUCUUCAUCCUCUACCUCCUCUUCAACCGCCACAAUUGCCACGCGCCGCCGACCAUAAUCUCGCGCGCCUCAGAUUAUCCACUCACGCGCCGACACCUCCUGUUCGCCAUUGCCUCCUCGUCCAAGUCCUGGCCCCGACGGAAGCCUUACCUCCGCCUCUGGUACUCCCCCAACUCCACGCGUGCGUUCGCUUUCCUAGACAGCGUUGCCGCCUCCGAUGACGGUACCGUCCCUCCGGUCGUCGUUUCCGCUGACACCUCCAAGUUCCCGUAUACGUUCCGUGGAGGUCUCCGGUCGGCGAUCCGCGUGGCGCGCGCGGUGAAAGAGAUAGUGGACCGCGACGAGAAGGACGUGCGGUGGUACGUGUUCGGCGACGACGAUACCGUUUUCUUCGUGGACAACCUGGUGAAAACCCUAGCGAAGUACGACCACGCACGGUGGUUCUACGUUGGUAGCAACUCGGAGAGCUACGAGCAGAAUGUGAAGUACUCGUUCGACAUGGCGUUUGGCGGUGGAGGCUUCGCGAUAAGCUACUCGCUCGCUAAGGUUUUGGCGAGGGUUUUGGAUUCGUGCUUGGUGAGGUACGCACACUUGUACGGAAGCGACGCUAGGGUUUUCUCGUGCUUGGCGGAGCUCGGUGUUGGUUUAACUCAUGAACCUGGGUUUCAUCAGGUUGAUAUGAGGGGGAAUUUGUUUGGGAUGCUGUCUUCACAUCCAUUAUCUCCUCUACUGUCCCUUCAUCAUUUGGAUGCUGUGGAGCCAAUCUUCCCUAACAUAAGCAGGACUCAAGCAAUGGGACGUCUUUUUGAAGCUGUGAAUGCUGAUCCUGCCAGGAUUUUGCAGCAAAGUGUCUGCUAUGACCCUUCAAAUUCAUUGACUAUUUCAGUUGCGUGGGGUUAUGCUAUCCAGGUGUUUGAUGGUAAUGAAUCUCUCCCAGAUCUCCUUUCGCUGCAGAGAACCUUUACGCCAUGGAAGAGGAGUAUCAAUAUUGAUGCUAGUCAUUAUAUGUUUAAAAUGAGAGAGUAUCCUAAAGAUCCAUGUAAAAGGCCUGUAAUCUUCUUUUUGGAAAGUGUUAUACCUGAUAAAGGUGUUGUGUGGAGCUACUACACCAGGCAUGUGGUGAAAGAGUGUGUCAGACCUAGUGCAGUAAAGAAUUUGAAACACAUCAAAGUUAUCUCUCAGAUGCUUGAGCUUGAUAUUGAACAGAUGAAGGCUCCACGUCGUCAGUGCUGCAACAUUUUGCCCUCCUUUAACGAGUCGAUGGUCAUUAACAUUAGACAAUGUGGAGUUGAUGAACUAAUUUCCAUGCAUAUCUAGCAUUUCUUGGGAAGAGGAAACUUUGAAGUACAAACAAAGCUCAGAAAGUUUUGAAGCAGUUUUGGUAGCAAACUGCAAGGAGGGAAAAAAAGAAAAAAAGGUGCUUGAAGAUGGCUGGUGAUUUUUUUUCAGCAGAAAGUCCUCUGCCAGCAAAUAAGGUGUUUGGCCCAGAAAAGAAUUGGCUAUUUCCUGAUAAGUUCACAGAUUGUAUUACCUCUGAGAAAUUUUGAUAAAAAGAUACACAUAAAGGAAGAAUGCUGAUUACACGCCAAAGAAGAGAGAUGACACUAGUAUCUAGCAUGAAAUGUGCAAGAUUUGUUAUGGAUUAUGGUGUAUGGUCAUGUAUUUGGAAUUAGUUACUUUUAGAUACAUCUGAUGAUGAUAGAGCUUAUGAAGUUGUUUAUUAGUUUUGUUCUAUAGAAGAAUAAUGCCUCAUGCAUGAGGCUACUAAUUUAUACAAGGAUUGGAAAGAUUUUUUUCUCUUCAAGCUAUUGUUUUCCUGUGCCUUACCUUCUGUAUAUUGCGGGGAAGGUUUGGGAAGUGAAGAGAAGAGCAGUUGGUCUUGUACUUGGUUUCUCGGUUAUAAAAUUAAGAGUAACAAGAACAACCCUUGACAUUUUGUACCUUA